This 465-nucleotide ribosomal RNA is filed under the name Vreelandella stevensii. RNAcentral's name for it is "partial 16S ribosomal RNA". It matches the Rfam family "Bacterial small subunit ribosomal RNA", at positions 338 to 795 of the family's 1533-position model. The record is from RNAcentral. Lineage: Bacteria; Pseudomonadati; Pseudomonadota; Gammaproteobacteria; Oceanospirillales; Halomonadaceae.
CCUACGGAGGGCAGCAGUGGGGAAUAUUGGACAAUGGGGGGAACCCUGAUCCAGCCAUGCCGCGUGUGUGAAGAAGGCCCUCGGGUUGUAAAGCACUUUCAGUGAGGAAGAACGCCUGGUGGUUAAUACCCAUCAGGAAAGACAUCACUCACAGAAGAAGCACCGGCUAACUCCGUGCCAGCAGCCGCGGUAAUACGGAGGGUGCGAGCGUUAAUCGGAAUUACUGGGCGUAAAGCGCGCGUAGGUGGCUUGAUAAGCCGGUUGUGAAAGCCCCGGGCUCAACCUGGGAACGGCAUCCGGAACUGUCACGCUAGAGUGCAGGAGAGGAAGGUAGAAUUCCCGGUGUAGCGGUGAAAUGCGUAGAGAUCGGGAGGAAUACCAGUGGCGAAGGCGGCCUUCUGGACUGACACUGACACUGAGGUGCGAAAGCGUGGGUAGCAAACAGGAUUAGAUACCCGGGUAGUC